RNAcentral lists this ribosomal RNA (253 nucleotides) under uncultured bacterium. RNAcentral's name for it is "partial 16S ribosomal RNA". It matches the Rfam family "Bacterial small subunit ribosomal RNA", at positions 524 to 776 of the family's 1533-position model. The record is from RNAcentral.
UACGUAGGGUGCAAGCGUUGUCCGGAUUUAUUGGGCGUAAAGAGCUCGUAGGCGGUUUGUCGCGUCGGAUGUGAAAACCCAGGGCUCAACCCUGGGCCUGCAUUCGAUACGGGCAGACUAGAGUAUGGCAGGGGAGACUGGAAUUCCUGGUGUAGCGGUGAAAUGCGCAGAUAUCAGGAGGAACACCGGUGGCGAAGGCGGGUCUCUGGGCCUGUACUGACGCUGAGGAGCGAAAGCGUGGGGAGCGAACAGG